RNAcentral lists this ribosomal RNA (384 nucleotides) under uncultured organism. RNAcentral describes it as "partial 16S ribosomal RNA". It matches the Rfam family "Bacterial small subunit ribosomal RNA", at positions 527 to 896 of the family's 1533-position model. The record is from RNAcentral.
GUAGGUGGCAAGCGUUGUCCGGAAUUAUUGGGCGUAAAGCGCGCGCAGGCGGUUCUUUAAGUCUGAUGUGAAAGCCCACGGCUCAACCGUGGAGGGUCAUUGGAAACUGGAGAACUUGAGUACAGAAGAGGAAAGCGGAAUUCCACGUGUAGCGGUGAAAUGCGUAGAGAUGUGGAGGAACACCAGUGGCGAAGGCGGCUCUCUGGUCUGUAACUGACGCUGAGGCGCGAAAGCGUGGGGGGGAGCAAACAGGAUUAGAUACCCUGGUAGUCCACGCCGUAAACCGAUGAGUGCUAAGUGUUAGGGGGUUUUACCGCCCCCCCCCGUUAGUGCUGCAGCUAACGCAUUAAGCACUCCGCCUGGGGUAGUACGGCCGCAAGGCUG